GAAGGUGAAGCACAAAAACCAUAAAUGAUGAUUGGGGUCAUUAGCAGAAAACCUGACACAGUAAUGAUGAAACCGCCACUCACACCCCACACCGUUGGAUGAUCUUGAUCUAACGGCUAUAGUUCACUGACUAACCCACUACCUCGAAAGCAGGAAAAUCAAGUAACUGCUCAGAAAAUGAAACGACAACAUUCAAUCAUCGAAUUAAAACCUUUCUUAAGGUCCUUUCUUAACCGUUAUCAUACGGCUGCUUACCAAAGACUUGGGAGGGAUGAUGUACGGUACGGUACUCGUAACGGCUGGUUCUGCCAAUCGGUCUAUUUGCAAUUGACAUUUGCUGUUGGGCCGUUACUGGACCACCUCAUUAUUGGGCCCACCAGGACUUAGGAAAGAUAUACUAAAAACUAAAAGUAUGAAAUAAUGGCUGUUGAUAAAAUAGGAGUACAAGAUAUCCGGCAAGUUGUAUCCAGUAAGUUUGUUUAUAUUUUAUUCUGUUGAUUUUAUCUAUAUCAAUUCCAGGUCUAUAAAUAAAGAGUUAAGGUCACAAGCCAAGUAUGUCCAAUUCACGCCUCUCACAUAUAUUGAUCAUGCCAUUGAGAUUUCAC
Molecule: long non-coding RNA, 605 nt
Filed under: Vigna radiata
Lineage: Eukaryota; Viridiplantae; Streptophyta; Magnoliopsida; Fabales; Fabaceae
Description: long non-coding RNA (VRAD_LNC016357)
Source: RNAcentral